GACUCGGUGGCGGAUGGUCCGCAUCUGCUCAGGCUAAAUGUCAAGCAGGCAGUAGAAGCAGAAGGCGUUGGUUCGAAUCCGGCCUGAGUCA
Molecule: non-coding RNA, 91 nt
Organism: Mycena epipterygia
Lineage: Eukaryota; Fungi; Basidiomycota; Agaricomycetes; Agaricales; Mycenaceae
Source: the annotation of a GenBank genome assembly